RNAcentral lists this ribosomal RNA (492 nucleotides) under uncultured bacterium. RNAcentral's name for it is "partial 16S ribosomal RNA". It matches the Rfam family "Bacterial small subunit ribosomal RNA", at positions 899 to 1397 of the family's 1533-position model. The record is from RNAcentral.
ACUCAAAGGAAUAGACGGGGAGGCGCACAACCGGUGGAGCGUGUGGUUCAAUUCGAGACGAAGCGAAACACCUCACCAGGGCUUGACAUGUUACCGUACAGCCUUGCUGAAAGGCGAGGCAAUCCGCAAGGAUGGUAAUACAGGUGUUGCAUGGCUGUCGUCAGCUCUAGGCGUGAGCUGUAGGCUUAAGUGCCAUAUAGAGCGCAACUCUUGUCUAAUGUUAAAUUAAUCAUUAGAGACAGGUCCGAUUUACUUCGGACAGGAAGGUAGGAAAGACGUCAAGUCAGCACGACCCUUAUGCCCUGGGCCACACACACCCUACAAUGGCGAAUAACAACGAGUCGCAAGCCGGUGACGGCAAGCUAAUCUCUAAAAUUUCGCCUCAGUUCAGAUUGGAGUCUGAAACCCGACUCCAUGAAGACGGAAUCGGUAGUAAUCGCGGAUCAGCAGGCCGCGGUGAAUACGUUCUCGCCUCUUGUACACACCGCCCGU